RNAcentral lists this ribosomal RNA (492 nucleotides) under uncultured bacterium. RNAcentral describes it as "partial 16S ribosomal RNA". It matches the Rfam family "Bacterial small subunit ribosomal RNA", at positions 29 to 507 of the family's 1533-position model. The record is from RNAcentral.
AGUGAACGCUGGCGGUAGGCCUAACACAUGCAAGUCGAACGGCAGCACAGUAAGAGCUUGCUCUUACGGGUGGCGAGUGGCGGACGGGUGGGGAAUACAUCGGAAUCUACUUUUUCGUGGGGGAUAACGUAGGGAAACUUACGCUAAUACCGCAUACGACCUACGGGUGAAAGCAGUGGAUCUUCGGACCUUGCGCGAUUGAAUGAGCCGAUGUCGGAUUAGCUAGUUGGCGGGGUAAAGGCCCACCAAGGCGACGAUCCGUAGCUGGUCUGAGAGGAUGAUCAGCCACACUGGAACUGAGACACGGUCCAGACUCCUACGGGAGGCAGCAGUGGGGAAUAUUGGACAAUGGGCGCAAGCCUGAUCCAGCCAUACCGCGUGGGUGAAGAAGGCCUUCGGGUUGUAAAGCCCUUUUGUUGGGAAAGAAAAGCAGCAGGUUAAUACCCCGCUGUUCUGACGGUACCCAAAGAAUAAGCACCGGCUAACUUCGUG